Molecule: non-coding RNA, 615 nt
Organism: Podarcis muralis (Common wall lizard)
Lineage: Eukaryota; Metazoa; Chordata; Lepidosauria; Squamata; Lacertidae
Source: RefSeq, a predicted model, not a curated record
GAAAUAAGCAACUAUCUGACUUUGAGAAGACUUCUGAAGGCACUGAAGACACUGUUGGGUCCUGGAAACCAUACCUACCCUGUCGACCACUCAAGUGCCCAAGCAAUGCAAAGGAUCUUUGCCAGUACUAGUCCAACUUGCAGCAAGGACCCUGACAGCUUGUUCAGUGACAUCCCUGCUGCAACUGAGAGGAUGUUGAGCACACCUGGGUAAGGUCAAGGAAGACUCGUGGGGAGAUAAAGGAGCGUUCAUAUCCUAGGCCAAAGAGAGCCCAGACUAUGGGGGCUGCCGGAGGAGGAAUCUCUGCUACGCUUACAAAGUUAUGCCAUGGAAUGUAAGAAGACAGGAAUGUCUCGGGGGCUGAGACCAAAGAGCCAUCUGGAGCAGCAUUCUGUUCCCAGUGCCUCUGGGAAACUCACAAACAGGCAUAAAUAUGAUGGUCAUCCCCUCCUCAUCCUUAGCAUCUGGUACCCAGAGCUAUACUGCUUCUUUACCUGUUCUCCAGUAACUAUUUUUUUAUAUACUGGGUCCUUCCAGUGUGUUUGCAUAACUUGGGGUGGCUUGCAACAAUUAAAAAAAAAAAUCUGAUAAAUAAAGCAACUGCAUAUAAAAAUG